AGAGUUUGAUCCUGGCUCAGGAUGAACGCUAGCGGCAGGCUUAACACAUGCAAGUCGAGGGGCAGCGCGUGAGGUAGCAAUACCUUAUGGCGGCGACCGGCGCAAGGGUGCGUAACGCGUGAGCAACAUGCCGGCAUCAGGGGGAUAAUCCGUGGAAACGCGGUCUAAUACCCCAUAGUCACCUUGGGAGGCAUCUCUUGGGGUGUAAAGCUGAGGCGGAUGCCGAUUGGCUCGCGUGACAUUAGCUAGAUGGUAGGGUAACGGCCUACCAUGGCGACGAUGUCUAGGGGUUCUGAGAGGAAGGUCCCCCACACUGGAACUGAGACACGGUCCAGACUCCUACGGGAGGCAGCAGUGAGGAAUAUUGGACAAUGGAAGUAAUUCUGAUCCAGCCAUGCCGCGUGCAGGAAGAAGGUUCCAUCGAUUGUAAACUGCUUUUGUACGGGAGCAAUAAGGUCCACGAGUGGAUCGAUGAGAGUACCGUACGAAUAAGCAUCGGUUAACUCCGUGCCAGUAGUUGUGGUAAUACGGAGGAUGCAAGCGUUAUCCGGAUUCAUUGGGUUUAAAGGGUGCGUAGGCGGAUAGGUAAGUCAGUGGUGAAAUUUUCGGGCUCAACCCGGAGGCUGCCAUUGAUACUGCCAGUCUGGAAUGGGGAUGCUGCAGGAGGAAUGUGUAGUGUAGCGGUGAAAUGCAUAGAUAUUACACAGAACACCGAUUGCGAAGGCAUCUUGCAAAACCCCAAUUGACGCUGAGGCACGAAAGUGUGGGGAUCAAACAGGAUUAGAUACCCUGGUAGUCCACACAGUAAACGAUGAUGACUAGCUGUCGGGGCUAUGGCUUCGGUGGCCAAGCGAAAGCGAUAAGUCAUCCACCUGGGGAGUACGACCGCAAGGUUGAAACUCAAAGGAAUUGACGGGGGCCCGCACAAGCGGAGGAACAUGUGGUUUAAUUCGAUGAUACGCGAGGAACCUUACCCGGGCUCGAACGGUGCAUGAAUGAUUCAGAGAUGGGUCAGUCCUUCGGGACAUGUAUCGAGGUGCUGCAUGGUUGUCGUCAGCUCGUGCCGUGAGGUGUCGGCUUAAGUGCCAUAACGAGCGCAACCCUUGUCUGCAGUUGCCAUCAGGUAAAGCUGGGGACUCUGCAGAGACUGCCACCGUAAGGUGCGAGGAAGGGGGGGAUGACGUCAAAUCAGCACGGCCCUUACGUCCGGGGCGACACACGUGUUACAAUGGCAGGUACAGAGGGCAGCUACACAGCGAUGUGAUGCGAAUCUCGAAAACCUGUCCCAGUUCGGAUCGGAGUCUGCAACCCGACUCCGUGAAGUUGGAUUCGCUAGUAAUCGCGCAUCAGCCAUGGCGCGGUGAAUACGUUCCCGGGCCUUGUACACACCGCCCGUCAAGCCAUGGGAGCUGGGGGUGCCUGAAGUCCGUAACCGCAAGGGGCGGCCUAGGGCAAAACCGGUGACUGGGGCUAAGUCGUAACAAGGUA
This 1488-nucleotide ribosomal RNA is filed under the name metagenome. Its description in RNAcentral is "bacterial SSU rRNA". It matches the Rfam family "Bacterial small subunit ribosomal RNA". The record is from RNAcentral.